RNAcentral lists this ribosomal RNA (120 nucleotides) under Anolis carolinensis (green anole). Lineage: Eukaryota; Metazoa; Chordata; Lepidosauria; Squamata; Anolidae. The record is from RNAcentral.
AUGUAGGGUCUAAUAUAUUCUAAAGGCACCAGAUUCCAUCUGAUCUUGGAAGCUAAGCAGUAUUUGCCCUUAAUAGUACUUGGAUGGGAGACUACCAAUGAACAUUAGGUGCUGUUGGCU